GACGAACGCUGGCGGCGUGCUUAACACAUGCAAGUCGAACGGUGAAAGCCGGCCUUUCUCUUCUGCUCCAGUGGCGAACGGGUGAGUAACACGUGAGUAACCUGCCCCAGACUCUGGGAUAACCGCUGGAAACGGCGUCUAAUACCGGAUACGAGCCCCAGCUGCAUGGCUACUGUCGGGAAAGUUCGUCGGUCGGGGAUGGACUCGCGGCCUAUCAGCUUGUUGGUGGGGUAACGGCUCACCAAGGCUACGACGGGUAGCCGGCCUGAGAGGGUGACCGGCCACACUGGGACUGAGAUACGGCCCAGACUCCUACGGGAGGCAGCAGUGGGGAAUAUUGCACAAUGGGCGGAAGCCUGAUGCAGCGACGCCGCGUGCGGGAUGACGGCCUUCGGGUUGUAAACCGCUUUCGGCUGUGAAGAAGCGAGAGUGACGGUACCGGGAGAAGAAGCACCGGCUAACUACGUG
This 468-nucleotide ribosomal RNA is filed under the name uncultured bacterium. Its description in RNAcentral is "partial 16S ribosomal RNA". It matches the Rfam family "Bacterial small subunit ribosomal RNA", at positions 28 to 507 of the family's 1533-position model. The record is from RNAcentral.